GGCCGGGAGCCGCAGGAUGGGGCUGCGUCCUAUCAGGUAGUUGGUGGGGUAACGGCCCACCAAGCCUGUGACGGGUAGGGGCCCUGAGAGGGGGAGCCCCCAGAUGGACUCUGAGACAAGAGUCCAGGCCCUACGGGGCGCAGCAGGCGCGAAAACUCCGCAAUGGGCGAAAGCCCGACGGGGUUACCCCGAGUGCCACCCUCGUGGUGGCUUUUGCCCGCUCUAAAAAGGCGGGCGAAUAAGGGGAGGGCAAGUCGGGUGUCAGCCGCCGCGGUAAUACCCGCUCCCCGAGUGGUGGAGGCUAUUACUGGGCCUAAAGCGCCCGUAGCCGGCCCGGUGUGUCCCUCGUUAAAUCCACGGGCUUAACCCGUGGGCUGCGGGGGAUACUACCGGGCUUGGGGGUGGGAGAGGCGCCCGGUAUUCCCGGGGUGGGGGUAAAAUCCUCUGAUCCCGGGAGGACCAUCAGUGGCGAAGGCGGGGCGCCAGAACACGCCCGACGGUGAGGGGCGAAAGCUGGGGGAGCAAACGGGAUUA
Molecule: ribosomal RNA, 534 nt
Filed under: uncultured prokaryote
Description: bacterial SSU rRNA
Rfam family: Archaeal small subunit ribosomal RNA
Source: RNAcentral